GUCUACGGCCAUUCCACCCUGAGCAAGCCCAAUCUCGUCUGACCUCGGAAGAUAAGCAGAGUCGGGCCUCGUCAGUACUUAGAUGGGAGACCACCUAGGAAGACCAGGUGCUAUAGGUG
RNAcentral lists this ribosomal RNA (119 nucleotides) under Pteropus alecto (black flying fox). Lineage: Eukaryota; Metazoa; Chordata; Mammalia; Chiroptera; Pteropodidae. The record is from RNAcentral.